UCCGAGUCCGUUUCGGAAUGACGGACGGACGGAUCGGACGGACCCUUUUUGAUUUAUAGUUCUACGAGCCUUUUUAUUGUGAAAACAAUUCACCGCCAGAACAGUAGAUGGCGAAACGGAAGUCGAGCUUAGACAAGCCUACCUCAUGAGGUAUAUAGAAGAAGUCCACGCUGGUUUAUUUACGUCCUCCCGGCUCCUCACACACAGUGAACGAUGGCAACUAACAGAAAAAGGAUGUUGAUGACGCGACAGUUUUUGCUGAAUAAAGUGACACCCAGCGGACGAAAAAACCACUGGGGUUGGUCAUGAGAGGAUCCGUGUGCUUCGCUCUUUGGUAUCCUCGUCUUUAAAUACCUGUCGAGUGGUGGCCACGGCAAAUUCAUGAAUCACAGGGGGAAAGGAAGGACACUCAUUCAUGCUGAAACCAGCUCGUGGGCACCAAAACUUCGUCCUCCCUUCAAAAGUUGAGCCGUUAGCGUUAAUGACAAGGAAGGAAAACGAUGGGGAGAGGACAGCACGUCUAAGCCUGGACAUUCCAUAUUAUGCUUUUCCAAAAUAUCCAAAUUAUGGUUAGGAUUAAGAAGGAUAGGUUUAUGUUUUCACAGAUGCUACAAACAGUCGAUGGCGCAGUGAGUCUUUUAUUAGUCAAACCUACGAGUUGGAACCUGACAUAAGAGCAAAGCAGCGCAUCAACAAGUUUAUUUCUACAUUUAAUCAUGGUCCUUCCUACCGAAAAGCAUUAAUACUAAAGAUUUCCACCGGCCGAGCUGGUUGUUGUACGUCAACGUUCUGCGACAAUUACUUAAUUAUCGGUACCGAACAAAAUGUGGCCAAAAGUUUCUGAAAGUGUUUUUUAUCUUUUGCCGAUGAGCUCACUAUAUAAUCCUCUACAUAGAUGUCCCUGUGGGGAUUUUGGACACAGUCAUUGUAUUCUUCUAACAAGCGGCUUUUCUUCAGGGAAAAGAAGUGACUGAGCUCGCACGCGUCACAGAGGCCCUAUAGGAGGCUUAUGAAUAUUCCCCGAACAUACAGUGAAGCUACAGAUCCAUCACUGGAGUAAAUAUCACGGCUAACAGCUUCACGUGACAUGAUUUUCUCCUGGAGGAAUCGAUGAACGGGCCCGUCCGUCCAUGUUAACACCAAAGCCGCUCAUGCGAAGCAAACAACCCGCUGUUCGCUGACAGGCUUAGGCACUUUUGUAGAUUACAUCCACUCUUCACUUCCUGUUUCCACGGCGUAGGGGGGAAAUGAGCACGGAGACUAAGGAGUUUUAUCGGCUGACAGUCGAGGUCAGAGCUUUUCUCCCCAUUGAUCUGCUGUGGUUGGGACAAAAACACCAUUUGUGCAAAGCCUCACAGCUUCCUGCGCCGCGUGGCAUCUCACACUCUGAGAAGCACAAGCCAGAAGAUGAACUGCAGCAUCUGUUUGUUUGUGUUUUUCUUUGCAGGGGAAAGGGGCAACGACCAGGCCUGCAGAGUUACCAGUCACUUCGCUGCAUCUCUUACGUUCAUUUCAAACCUUUCAG
Molecule: long non-coding RNA, 1525 nt
Organism: Pleuronectes platessa (European plaice)
Lineage: Eukaryota; Metazoa; Chordata; Actinopteri; Pleuronectiformes; Pleuronectidae
Exons: 3
Source: RefSeq, a predicted model, not a curated record